RNAcentral lists this ribosomal RNA (486 nucleotides) under uncultured bacterium. RNAcentral describes it as "partial 16S ribosomal RNA". It matches the Rfam family "Bacterial small subunit ribosomal RNA", at positions 28 to 507 of the family's 1533-position model. The record is from RNAcentral.
GAUGAACGCUGGCGGCGUGCCUAAUACAUGCAAGUCGAACGCUGGAAAUCUAGCUUGCUAGAUUGAAGGAGUGGCGAACGGGUGAGUAAUACAUAAGCAACCUACCCACGAAGACUGGGAUAAUCUCUGGAAACGGGGACUAAUACCGGAUAGGUAAUCGGAAGGCAUCUUCUGAUUAUUAAAGGUUAAAAACACUGGUGGAUGGGCUUAUGGCGCAUUAGUUAGUUGGUGAGGUAACGGCCCACCAAGACGAUGAUGCGUAGCCGGCCUGAGAGGGUGAACGGCCACAUUGGGACUGAGACACGGCCCAGACUCCUAGGGGAGGCAGCAGUAGGGAAUUUUCGGCAAUGGGGGAAACCCUGACCGAGCAACGCCGCGUGAGUGAUGACGGCCUUCGGGUUGUAAAGCUCUGUUGUAAGGGAAGAACGGUAGAUAGAGAAUAUCUAAAUGACGGUACCUUACCAGAAAGCCACGGCUAACUACGUG